UGUUGUGUUCUUAUUUUUAAGCAUAAGAAAUUUGGUGUUGCCUUUACUUGGACUUAAUAUUCCUUGUGGCUGGUUUGAUAUAAUGCGUGAAUUACUUUUGCAUGUCGCGAUCCAUGUAUUGUUCAUGCUCCGAGUUCGCAUCUCUCUUGUUUUCACUCAACCGAAAUUCAACUUUGCAUAUGAUUGUUCAUGUUAACGUGGUUUUCCUUUAGUUACUGAUUUAAUACGAAGAAUGCUGCAAAUUUUUCUGUCAUUUUAGUAUAAGCAGAAUAGCUGCCGUUUAGUCCACUUGUUUGUUUGUGGACAUAAUCUGGCCAAGGAACUAGAUGGCGAAGAUCUAGGGAGGCUUUUUAAUAUUUUGACUUCCUCUCAUGCGUAAAUUACCUUUGUACAGGGAUGGCUUCCCCUUGGUGCCUUGUUUAUGAUAUUCUUUUUUUUAUCUGAAAAAUGAGCAAAAAUUUUCCAGCUUGAUUGUUUUUUUUUUCCUUCAAACUAUAAAAAAUUGUAUGGGGACGUCUGAAAGGCAUCAAGAGACUGUGACUCUUGGACCAAUUUUCUUUAAUCCUGUAGCAGGGAGAUUUAAUCCUCUAAAGGCUCUUUUUGUUAUUUUGUAGCAAAUAACCACAAAAUAAUCAAUAGCUUGAUUAUUGAUUUUAUUUCCUUUAUUUUGAGGAAGUUCCUCUGCUUCUGCGAUUUGACAACAUGGCAUUGAAUCUUUAACUGCUAGCUCGAGCAUGUUAGGAUGCAUGUUAGUUCUGAAAGUUCUUUUGAGUCACCUAACUGGGGAAAAAUAUUAUGAAUCUAUAUGACUGUAUUGGUUUCAAUACUUCAGCUCCACAUCAAAUUUUACUUAACUAAUCUGAAUGAAGCAUUUUGCUUUGGAAGUUUAUGUAUGAUGGGUUCUCCUCUCUCACAAAGGAGGUCUCAUCUAGAAUCAGUAAUGUUUAUUGAUCCUUUAACAGUUCAUUUGACUGAGUGGAUAGUAGCAUAUGAAAUAUAUGUGGAGAUUGCGUAUUGCCUGUCACAGACUGCCUUUUUCAUGAUUUGGUUAAAUUUUGUGUCGAAUCUGAUAUGAAUUUUCUCUGCUAGUUUACAGAAUGAACUUGGUUGUACUGCCUUUUCCUUUCUCUGUCUCAACUAGCCAAUAUAUGACAGAUUCCAUCAAUCAUUACCUUCUGGACAUCCUGAAAUAAUCGAGUUGAUAGAGGAAUAAAGAAAGAAACCUGCAAUACGGUCUAAGAUAUUAUAAUAAGAUGGCCUUGCUAAUGGUUACACCAAAUGGUUCAUUAGUGAUUAGGUUUUCUUUCUCUUGUUAUUAUCUCACUUAUGGGCUUUAGCAAAUACUGUAUCUAGUUGCAUCCUGAAAAGCAAGAAAAUCACGUAUGAUUUGCAUGAUUGAAAAGAUUCUUUUUAAAAAGAAAAAAAAACCUCCUCUUUCUUAUCCUUGCUGGUGAAAAUCUCCAUUAUAAAAUAAAGAAAAAAAAUUACUGGGUAUUAUUCUUUUUUGUACCUAGGAAUAGUGUCUUUUUGGCCUUUGGAAAAUGCUUGAAUUUUUGGUAGUGGUUGUUUGGCUGUCAUAUGCAAUGAGUUACAGCUCUGCAGACUACAUCCAAUUUCAAAACUGUCUCUACUUUCUCUGUUCUUGUAAGUUUUUAUGAAGCACCAAUUUGAUCUGCUAAUAUCUCAUUGUGCUAAUUGCCUUAUUUCCGCUGGCUAUAAGUCUUGAUGGUUCUGAUCCUAUACAGCAUUCUUUUAGGACCAUAUGCUCUCUGGCUUCUGAAUCCAGAAUUGAUAUAUAUUCUUUAUUAGUAAAUGAUUAUUACUUAUUCUCUAAAGAAAUGAUUUUUAUUNNNNNNNNNNNNNNNNNNNNNNNNNNNNNNNNNNNNNNNNNNNNNNNNNNNNNNNNNNNNNNNNNNNNNNNNNNNNNNNNNNNNNNNNNNNNNNNNNNNNNNNNNNNNNNNNNNNNNNNNNNNNNNNNNNNNNNNNNNNNNNNNNNNNNNNNNNNNNNNNNNNNNNNNNNNNNNNNNNNNNNNNNNNNNNNNNNNNNNNNNNNNNNNNNNNNNNNNNNNNNNNNNNNNNNNNNNNNNNNNNNNNNNNUUCGUAAGGAAAUACAGUGCCCAAUUUGUCUUGGUACUUUUUCUUCUGAAUCUUGUUUGAUCUGAUCCUUUUGUCUAAUCAUAGUUUAGUUUCUUUAACCUGCGUAUAUUAAGUUCUUUUUUUAAAAAAAUAAAAAGUGACGAUAUAUUAAGUUAGCUAGUAAUAUUAUCAGAAUGAAUUGUAUUUUGUUUAUAGAGUUAACAGGCAAGGUAAAAUGUCUAACUUUUGUCUCUUUUUCCCCUUCUCUAUCUGGUACUUUUCAAGCAAAAAGUCUUUUGAUAACAAUUGGGCAUUUAACAAAUAUGUGAUUCUCAAAUUACCGAACAUUUGUAAGGAUGUACUUCUCUAGCUAGUUUUUUUGUCUGAUAAGAGUUAAUUUCUUGAAUUAACCUAAAUGUAUUUUAUUCACUAUCAUCUGGAUAAAUUUGUAUUUUGGUUAUAGAAUUUGCAUGCAAAAGGAAAUCCCAGUUUGUUUGUCUUUGUUUAUAGAAUUUGUAUUUUGUUUAUAGAAUUACAUAUAAAUUGCAGAGAAACAUAUGAAUGUGCAGAUUUUAAUUUACAUAUGCGAAAAAUUUCCAGAUGUAAGUAUAUUUAGGGCGUAAUUAGCUUAAUUUAAAUCAUUUUUGUUCUGUGGGUUUCUAACUCAGAGGUUAAUAUUCAACAAUUUCAACAAUGCUAGUUAUUUUUGAAGGUUUUGGCUGACUGUGCUUAGUAUAUCCUGAAUCUCUGCUAGAUUCACAUAUUAUAAAAGUUGGUUAUCAAUCUAUUCGGAAAGUUAUAAUUCAUCCCUUUGUCAUUUUCAGGAAUCAUAAAGAAAACAAGAACUGCUAUCGACUGCUUGCAUCGCUUUUGCAGGGCAUGUAUUGAAAAAUCAAUACGACUAGGGUAUGCAUAAGAUACUGUUCUUUUAAUCUGAAAAUUUUCCUCAACAUGCUUCUGUCUGGUAGUAUUAUGAAGGUUGUUAUCCAAAAUCUUGUAUUUGGGUUCAAAAAAGCAGGGUUUACUAUGUUUUAAGGUUCUUUCAUGAAUUGGCUAGUUUCUCAACGCUGGACAUGUGCUGAUGCAGCUGUUAGCCUGAGAUGGCAAAUCAUCUCUAAACUUGGUUGAUAAUUGCAGGAACAAUGAAUGUCCUGCUUGCCACAAGCAUUGUGCAAGCGGGCUUUCUUUGAGAGAUGAUCCAAAGUAUGAUGCUCUAAUUGAAGCUUUAUAUCCAAAUAUUGCUAGGUGUGGGGAGGAGGUAAACAGUUGUUUGCUAAAUCUGCAUUCUUUUGAUUGGUUUUGAAGUUGUUUUCCAAAUCCAAUAAUUGUUUUCCCUUUUAAUAGGAGCUGGCUUUUGACGAUGAGGAUCCGAAUGGCAAUCAGCAGGUGGUGAGAUUUAUGGAGCUAGCUGUGGAAACUUACAGAUGUUUGCCUCUGUGUGCUUAAUUCCAUCCUGCUUAGUUCAGUAAAAUAAUAAACAGAUGGUGAUAUGCUGACCACCUCCGUGGUUAUUUACUUGUUAUUGCGGUUUAGGAAUUUGCUGUUGGUUCUGUUGAUUUUCUGUUUGAACUUUUGAUUCUGAAGGCAAUAGGUUUCUGGUUCAGUUAGUGAUGGAAGAACCUAUAUGAACUUGAUUUGGAUGAAUGAUUGCUAUUUCAUUUUAUUUAUAUUUCUACAAGAGUUUGCAUUGGUAUAUUUACGUGUCAUUUUUUAAUGAAAAUGUUAAUAUUUUGAUCUAUACUAAAAUACACGAGUGGACUAGUCCCUAAUAAUUAUUACAUAAUUAACAAAUUGGGGGAUCCCUAAUAAUAAAUCACUUUUUAUGGACUCAUUAAUUGUUUAAUGUGUGUUUUUAAUUAAUUUCUAUAACCAGAACUUAUCCCAUUAUAUUUACGUGCUCAAAAAAGAAAUAAAAUAUUGUAAGUACUUGCUCGAAUCUACUAACACAGAGUUUCAUAAAUAACAUGGCAUUUCAUUGUGAUAAAUUACACGAAAUUUACUUGAAGAUUUACGUAUAUAAUAUUAUAUAUUUAUAGGUUUUGCAAGAGCAUGGGAUAUCUUCUCAAAAAACACGUGAAGGUGGAGUAGUUUAUAUAAUUGCCGUGACAUCUCCAUUCUCAUCUCACCAUAUUAAUCUUCACUAUGAAUUAAUAAUAUACAUACACAUAUACAUAUACAUAUACAUAUACAUAUGUACAUCGCGCUUCUGAUGCCUUACUUCUAAAUCAAGAUUACAUGAUCUAUAUAUAUUUUCACACUACGUCAUGUUUUAUAUAUUAUUUACAAUUAAUUAUUAUUUUUUUAUAAUUUCUAAAUUUAUUAAAAACAAAUCAUAAAACAAACCAUAAUAUUUUUCUAAAGUCACCAUUUUAUUUUAUUAAAAUUGAUAAAUUCAAAACUUCAAAGUUAUAACCUUUGAUCAAUGUUUAAUCCAUAUUUGAAAAUUAUUAAAAUAAUAAACAUUUAGAUCCUAACUUGUAGAUAAGUUAUCAUUAAAUUUAAAUACCGUGUACCUCUUCAUAUUUUUCUUACACAUCUUCUUAAUCUGAUAAAAAAAUUCUGAACGAAUUAAAUUAUAAAUUAAAUUUUAUAGUAUUAUAUUAUUAUUAACUAUAUAUAAACUGUCAAUAUAAAUAUUUAAUUAUAAAUUACAUAUAAAAUUAUUAGUAAAUUAAAAUAAGUUCACGCGUUUUAAUAAUCAUUUAUUUAUAUUUUUAUAUAAAAAUUUGACCGUCGUAAUUUCCUACAAUAAUUAAAUACAGUGUACUUCUUCAUAUUUUUCUCACACUUUUUUUAAUAUGAUAAAAAAAUCUGAACGAAUUAAAUUUUAUAUUAUUAUAUUACUAUUUAAUCAUGGAUAGAGGUAAAUAUAAAUAUUUAACUAUAAAUUAUAUAUAAAAUUAAUAAUGAAUCAAUUUAAUUCACGCAUUUUGACAGUUAUUUAUUUACAUCUUUAUUUAAGAAUUUGACCGCUACGAUUUCAAACAAAAAAGUAAAUAUAUUGUAUUUUUUCAAAUUUUUUCAUACGUUUUCUUAAUUUAGUUAAAAAAUCUGAACGAAUUAAAUUAUAUAUUAUUAUAUUACUAUCUAACUAUGAAUAACGUUUAUAAUGAAUAUUUAAUCUUAAUUUGCAUAUAAAAUUAUUAUUAAAAUUAAAUUAAUUUCCACAUUUUAAUAAUUAUUUAAUUUUAUCUUUAUUUAAGAAUUUGACAUUUUUUAUAAAAGUUUAACACUAAUUUGUAUAUAAAAUUACUAUUAAACCCCCCACCCCCUAUUAUAAAGAUACACAAUCUUCCAAUACAUCACCUUUUUUUAACUACCCGCUUCUCUCUAACAUCAGCCUCAAAAUCAGCGAAGGGAGGUAGAAAUGUCUGCACAGACGCGUUCACCGCCGGAGGAAUCCGAGUACUCUCUCUAUCUCUCUUCGUCUCAUUCUCGUGGAUCGUGCUAUUUUUUAAAUUUCUCGCUGUACUACCACCGAUUUGUGUUUGUUUUGCUCUUUUUUUUUUCAAUUGGUUCGCUGUAUUUUUCAUAUUGACGAGCAUCUUUUCCAUUUUUUACGAGCAUUCUUUUGAUUUAACUGUUGAUAAGUUUUCAUGGCUGUAGCUGUAGCGUGGGGUGGGGUUGAGGGAUUGGUGUUGUGUUCUUAUUUUUAAGCAUAAGAAAUUUGGUGUUGUCUUUACUUGGACUUAAUAUUCCUUGUGGCUGGUUUGAUAAAAUGCGUGAAUUACCUUUGCAUGUCGCGAUCCAUGUAUUUUUCAUGCUCCGAGUUCGCAUCUCUCUUUAUUUUUAAGCAUAAGAAAUUUGGUGUUGCCUUUACUUGGACUUAAUAUUCCCUGUGGCUGGUUUGAUAUAAUGCGUGAAUUACCUUUGCAUGUCGCGAUCCAUGUAUUGUUCAUGCUCCGAGUUCGCAUCUCUCUUGUUUUCACUCAACCGAAAUUCAACUUUGCAUAUGAUUGUUCAUGUUAACGUGGUUUUCCUUUAGUUACAGAUUUGUUUGUGGACAUAAUCUGGCCAAGGAACUAGAUGGCGAAGAUCUAGAAAGGCUUCUUAAUAUUUUUGACUUCCUCUCAUGCGUAAAUUACCUUUGUACAGGGAUGGCUUCCCCUUGGUGCCUUGUUUAUGAUAUUCUUUUUUUUAUCUGAAAAAUGAGCAAAAAUUUUCCAGCUUGAUUGUUUUUUUUUUCCUUCAAACUAUAAAAAAUUGUAUGGGGACGUCUGAAAGGCAUCAAGAGACUGUGACUCUUGGAACAAUUUUCUUUAAUCCUGUAGCAGGGAGAUUUAAUCCUCUAAAGGCUCUUUUUGUUAUUUUGUACAAAAUAAAGGAAAUAAAACCAAU
RNAcentral lists this long non-coding RNA (6414 nucleotides) under Carica papaya (papaya). RNAcentral describes it as "long non-coding RNA (CPAP_LNC007296)". Lineage: Eukaryota; Viridiplantae; Streptophyta; Magnoliopsida; Brassicales; Caricaceae. The record is from RNAcentral.